GACGAACGCUGGCGGCGUGCUUAACACAUGCAAGUCGAACGGGUCUGCCCUGUUUUUUGCGGGGUGGGUCAGUGGCGAACGGGUGAGUAACACGUGAGUAACCUGCCCCUCACUUCUGGAUAACCGCUUGAAAGGGUGGCUAAUACGGGGUGUUCUGGCUGUGCCGCAUGGUGUGGCUGGGAAAGAUUCACUUUUGUGGUGUUUUGGUGGGGGAUGGGCUCGCGGCCUAUCAGCUUGUUGGUGGGGUGAUGGCCUGCCAAGGCUUUGACGGGUAGCCGGCCUGAGAGGGUGGGCGGGCACACUGGGACUGAGAUACGGCCCAGACUCCUGCGGGAGGCAGCAGUGGGGGGUAGUGCACAAUGGGCGGAAGCCUGAUGCAGCGACGUCGCGUGAGGGAUGGAGGCCUUCGGGUUGUGAACCUCUUUCGCCGGUGAAGAAGGUCCUGCUCUUUGUGGUGGGGUUGACGGUAGCCGGGUUAUGAAGCGCCGGCUAACUACGUG
This 500-nucleotide ribosomal RNA is filed under the name uncultured bacterium. RNAcentral describes it as "partial 16S ribosomal RNA". It matches the Rfam family "Bacterial small subunit ribosomal RNA", at positions 28 to 507 of the family's 1533-position model. The record is from RNAcentral.